UACGUAGGGUGCAAGCGUUGUCCGGAAUUAUUGGGCGUAAAGAGCUCGUAGGUGGCCUGUCGCGUCGGCUGUGAAAACUCGGGGCUCAACUCCGAGCUUGCAGUCGAUACGGGCAGGCUAGAGUUCGGCAGGGGAGACUGGAAUUCCUGGUGUAGCGGUGAAAUGCGCAGAUAUCGGGAGGAACACCGGUGGCGAAGGCGGGUCUCUGGGCAAUUCCUGACGCUGAGGCGCGAAAGCGUGGGGAGCAAACGGG
Molecule: ribosomal RNA, 253 nt
Filed under: uncultured bacterium
Lineage: Bacteria
Description: partial 16S ribosomal RNA
Rfam family: Bacterial small subunit ribosomal RNA
Source: RNAcentral